GGCUGGUCCAAAGGUAGUGAGUUAUCUCAACUGAUUAUUCACAGUCAGUAACAAGUCAGACCCCUUUGUUCUACUCUUUCCUCCUUCUCAGUACUGCACUUGACUUGUUUUUA
Cercocebus atys (sooty mangabey) is the source of this 113-nucleotide unclassified non-coding RNA. It matches the Rfam family "Y RNA". Rfam says of the family: Y RNAs are components of the Ro ribonucleoprotein particle (Ro RNP), in association with Ro60 and La proteins. The Y RNAs and Ro60 and La proteins are well conserved, but the function of the Ro RNP is not known. NCBI's taxonomy places the organism in Eukaryota, Metazoa, Chordata, Mammalia, Primates, Cercopithecidae. The record is from Ensembl.